GCGCAAAGAGGCCUAGCUAGGGCCAUGGCGCCAGGGCUAGAUUAAUGUCAGGCUAAGGCUCCAUUUUUAUAUGUGUGUGUUUUCAGCCCCAUUGUUGGAACAAAAGCGGAGCGAGCGAAGGGACGGCCAUCUUCCCACUGUCAAUUCAGAGCCCAGGAGGCAAGGGACUCCAUUUCUGAGCGCCGGAACCCAACGCCAAACUCACGCCAAGGACCCACAAAAUGGCCGCCAUUGAUCCCUAUCACCUGAGCGACAUCCAGGCAACUUCGGACCUCUAAAGCGGCGGCAAACAGGGACGCCGCCACCACCAUUAGCACCGCCAGAGGUAGCCCCAGUACUUCCACUAUUUCAAUGGAGCGAUGGACAAAAUUCAGAGUGUGUCCUCAAGUGAUGGAGGUGCCUCGUCUCACAGCGUAUUUGAGGGGAGACAUUUGGCGACAGCGGCGCACAUUUCAUGAAGCGCCAGGGAAUUGGCCUCCGCGUCGAGCAAAGAUUGCACUUAUUUAAACCCCAGCUUCUCAAAGCAACGUAUUCGCCCUGACGCCCCAAGUGACCCAGAUCCUGAUCACUAUGCCGCCAGGGAGAAACAUCACAAGGAGUUGCGCCAGAUUUCGGCUUCUAGAGACAACCGGUGAACUUGGAUGAGUAUCUCAUCCAUGCCUGGAGUUGGAGCCCAAUCCCGAUGAUAAGAAGCCAGAAGAUAUGUUUUGCGACUCCGCCACAAAAACACCAAACUCACGCCAAAGACCCUCGGAGAACAAAAUGGCUGCCGUCAAUCCCAAUCACCAGGCAACUUUGGAUAUCUAAGGCGGCGGCAAACGGGCACCGCAACCACCAUUAGUGCCGCCAGAGAUACUCACAGUACUUUUGGGAUCUGUCAUGGUCCCCCAACUCC
Molecule: long non-coding RNA, 895 nt
Organism: Sceloporus undulatus (fence lizard)
Lineage: Eukaryota; Metazoa; Chordata; Lepidosauria; Squamata; Phrynosomatidae
Exons: 3
Source: RefSeq, a predicted model, not a curated record